This is a long non-coding RNA of Phyllostomus discolor (pale spear-nosed bat), 152 nucleotides long. RefSeq lists it as uncharacterized. The transcript is spliced from 4 exons. Lineage: Eukaryota; Metazoa; Chordata; Mammalia; Chiroptera; Phyllostomidae. The record is from RefSeq and is a predicted model, not a curated record.
GCCAUCUUUGUUGUCUCUGCAGUUUAUCUUCGACUCUGACGGUCCCUCGACAGUUAUGCCGAGCCCACCAAUUCCUGCCCCUCUGGAAAGUGUGGAAAGAAAGCAAAGCAAUACUAGUGGUUCAUACUAAGGUCCUACUGAAAAAAUUCAUU